AGUGAACGCUGGCGGUAGGCCUGACACAUGCAAGUCGAACGGCAGCACAGUAAGAGCUUGCUCUUACGGGUGGCGAGUGGCGGACGGGUGAGGAAUACAUCGGAAUCUACUUUUUCGUGGGGGAUAACGUAGGGAAACUUACGCUAAUAGCGCAUACGACCUACGGGUGAAAGCAGGGGAUCUUCGGACCUUGCGCGACUGAAUGAGCCGAUGUCGGAUUAGCUAGUUGGCGGGGUAAAGGCACACCAAGGCGACGAUCCGUAGCUGGUCUGAGAGGAUGAUCAGCCACACUGGAACUGAGACACGGUCCAGACUCCUACGGGAGGCAGCAGUGGGGAAUAUUGGACAAUGGGCGCAAGCCUGAUCCAGCCAUGCCGCGUGGGUGAAGAAGGCCUUCGGGUUGUAAAGCCCUUUUGUUGGGAAAGAAAAGCAGCAGGUUAAUACCCCGCUGUUCUGACGGUACCCAAAGAAUAAGCACCGGCUAACUUCGUG
RNAcentral lists this ribosomal RNA (492 nucleotides) under uncultured bacterium. Its description in RNAcentral is "partial 16S ribosomal RNA". It matches the Rfam family "Bacterial small subunit ribosomal RNA", at positions 29 to 507 of the family's 1533-position model. The record is from RNAcentral.